This 899-nucleotide ribosomal RNA is filed under the name Saagaromyces abonnis. Its description in RNAcentral is "bacterial SSU rRNA". It matches the Rfam family "Eukaryotic small subunit ribosomal RNA", at positions 81 to 997 of the family's 1831-position model. Lineage: Eukaryota; Fungi; Ascomycota; Sordariomycetes; Microascales; Halosphaeriaceae. The record is from RNAcentral.
GGGAAAACCCGAAUGGCUCAUNAUAUAAGGUAUCCUCACCGGACAGCACCCUUUUUCUUGGAUAACCGUGGUAAUUCUAAAGCGGGGACAUUCUAAAAAUCCCGACUCCCGAACGGAUGUAUUUAUUACACUAAAAGCCAAUGCCCUCUGGGCUCACAGGCGAUUCAUGAUAACUUCUCNAAUCGCAUGGCCUUGCGCCGGCGAUGGUUCAUUCAAAUUUCUUCCCUAUCAACUUUCGAUGCGAACGUCUUGUCUUCGCAUGGUUACAACGGGUAACGGAGGGUUAGGGCUCGACCCCCGAUAAGGAGCCUGAGAGACGGCUACUACAUCCAAGGAAGGCACCAUGCGCGCAAAUUACCCAAUCCCGACACGGGGAGGUAGAGACAAAAAAUACUGAUACAGGGCUCUUUUGGGUCUUGUAAUUGCAAUGAGUACAAUUUAAAUCCCUUAACGAGGAACAAUUGCACGGCAAGUCUGGUGCCAGCAGCCGCGGUAAUUCCAGCUCCAAUAGCGNAUAUCAAAUUUGUUGUGGUUAAAAAGCUCGUACUGAACCUUGGGCCUGGCUGGCCGGACCCCCUCACCGGGUGCACUGAUCCAGCCGGCCCUUUCCCUCUGUGGAACCCCAUGGCCUUCCCUGGGCUCGGCGGGGAACAAGGACUUUUACUUUGAAAAAAUUACAGUGCUCCAAGCAGGCCUACCUCCAAUACUUUAUCAUGGCAAUAUUACACUGGACCCGUGGUCUAUUCGGUUGGUUUCUACGACCCCCCGAACUGAUAAAAGGAACAGCCGGGGGCAUCAAGUAUUCAUUGCCAAAGGGGAAACCCUGCGACCUAUUGAAACUACUACCUGGUAAAACCUUUCCCAAGAUUUUUCCUUUCAACGGAACCAAAGUCGGGGAA